CCUACGGGAGGCAGCAGUAAGGAAUAUUGGUCAAUGGAGGCAACUCUGAACCAGCCAUGCCGCGUGCAGGAAGAAGGCCCUAUGGGUCGUAAACUGCUUUUGUACCAGAGAAAACCACAGUACGUGUACUGUGUUGAUAGUAUGGUAAGAAUAAGCAUCGGCUAACUUCGUGCCAGCAGCCGCGGUAAGACGAAGGAUGCAAGCGUUAUCCGGAUUCAUUGGGUUUAAAGGGUGCGUAGGCGGACUGAUAAGUCAGUGGUGAAAUCUCUCAGCUUAACUGAGAAACUGCCAUUGAUACUGUUAGUCUAGAGUAUAGAUGACGUUGGCGGAAUAUGACAUGUAGUGGUGAAAUACUUAGAUAUGUCAUAGAACACCGAUUGNGAG
RNAcentral lists this ribosomal RNA (384 nucleotides) under uncultured bacterium. Its description in RNAcentral is "bacterial SSU rRNA". It matches the Rfam family "Bacterial small subunit ribosomal RNA", at positions 338 to 719 of the family's 1533-position model. The record is from RNAcentral.